RNAcentral lists this long non-coding RNA (1378 nucleotides) under Astyanax mexicanus (Mexican tetra). RNAcentral describes it as "lncRNA (ENSAMXG00005008215.1)". Lineage: Eukaryota; Metazoa; Chordata; Actinopteri; Characiformes; Acestrorhamphidae. The record is from RNAcentral.
AGUGGUGCACCUGUGUUUCACGCCGCCAAGAUACAGUAGAAACACGCCAGAAAUUUACCUGAACACCUUUCAGCAGACCACCACGCCCAUCAGCCUUAAUAUAUUCCUAAACUCCAAUGCUGUUUUAAUGAUGUGUGCACAAAGCGUGAAAAUAUGUGUGACCACACUUCCCCCACCCUCACUCUACUCAGCCCUGGAUUCUCACAAUACUGUGUAAAAACAGCUCCAACACCAUCAUCAAAUUUGUUGCGUUAUCAUCAAAAAUGUUGAGCAUUUAAGCGUAUUUUGUUUUUUGAGUUCUGACUCACGAUCUGUAGUUACAUAAACAUUACUGAACAUACUGAACAUUACUAUAAUAGUCCUGACUGUGAAUUAAGAUCCUUAUAAUACUGUCUGUGGCUCUUAUAUAUUUUUAUAACAUACUAACACUACCAGUCAAAAGUUUGGACACCCCUUUUCAUUCAGUGUUUUUAUUUUUUUCCUACAUUUUAAAUUAAAACUGAAGUCAACCAGAUUAUAAAGGAACACAUAAGUGUGAAUGAAUGAAGUUCAACUUAUAGAGCGCCUUUCUAGAAACCCAAGGGCGCUUUACAAUGUACACAUUUUACACACAAGCACAUUAUUACACAUCAACACUCAUCCACACACCGGUGAGAAACGGCAGCCAAUAGCGCACAGCGUACUCUCAACUGGAAACGACCGUCCACCUGGAGGACUACAUAGGGCACUACAGCCUUUACCCAGGACAGAGUGCCAAUCCAUAUCUGGGCACAGUCAUACACACAUUUACACCUCUCCUGUUCCUCCACCCUUUCUAUCCUCCCACCAGAGAGAGAGAGAGAGAGAGAGAGACAGGGCAGAGGAUCUGAUUAUCUCCUAAAAGCCUAAUCUGGAUCUGUAGGCAGGGACAGCAGACAAUUUGAAGAUGGAAAUUGGAUUUUUGAAAGGGUUGCUUUACGCGUUACAUGGCGUCCUCUUUUUGAAUGGAUUUGGUCUGAUGACGGUGGGGACCUGGGUGAAGGCCGACAGCGACACCGUCGUAAAUUUCUUACAGCAUCUGAACAGUGCGCCGGGCGAGCUGAAGAAGGCUCUGAACGUGGGCUACCCUAUGAUCAUUCUGGGCUCGCUUCAGAUGAUAAUGAGCAUUUGGGGCUGCUGGGCUUCCAGAAAGUAUUGGAUAAUAAAAAUUUCUAAAAAAAAAAAAAGUUCUGAUAUACUCUCCUUUCUUUCUGUCAGCAUCUUUAAAGUCCAUUCAGUUCACACGUUCCUGUGGAAGUGCUUCAAAGGAAUCGACCAUUAACCAAUCGACCAAUCAACACAAUGAAGGUUUACACAUAUGGAAGGUUUGGAUCAACAGUCAUCAACUGUUGCUGAAGGU